UAGCAUAAUCAUUAGUUUUUUAAUUGAAAACUGGAAUGAAAGGUUAAAUAAAAAAUAAUCUUUAUUAGUUUUAAAAUAUUUGAAUUUGUUUUUUUAGUAAAAAAACUAAAAUAAUAUAAAAAGACGAUAAGACCCUAUAAAGCUUUAUAAUAUAAGAUUUAUUAAUUAAUUAGAAUUAUAAAAUUAAUUUUUUUUUAUUAUUUAAUUGGGGUGAUUUAAAGAUUUAAAAAACUCUUUAUAAAAAAAAUAUCAUUUUUAAAUGUUUUUUGAUCCUUAUAUAAUAAAGAGUAAAAAAAUAAGUUACUUUAGGGAUAACAGCGUAAUUUUUUUAAAGAGUUCUAAUCGAUAAAAAAGAUUGCGACCUCGAUGUUGAAUUAAGAUAAAUUUUAGGUGUAGAAGUUUAAUAUUU
RNAcentral lists this ribosomal RNA (409 nucleotides) under Krenopsectra acuta. RNAcentral describes it as "partial 16S ribosomal RNA". The record is from RNAcentral. Lineage: Eukaryota; Metazoa; Arthropoda; Insecta; Diptera; Chironomidae.